GCCUGGGUGGCUUAGUCGGUUAAGCGUCUGACUUUGGCUCAGGUCAUGAUCUUGUGGUUCGUGAGUUCAAGCCCCAUGUUGGGCU
RNAcentral lists this transfer RNA (85 nucleotides) under Felis catus (domestic cat). It matches the Rfam family "tRNA". From Rfam's summary of the family: Transfer RNA (tRNA) molecules are approximately 80 nucleotides in length. Their secondary structure includes four short double-helical elements and three loops (D, anti-codon, and T loops). The record is from Rfam by way of RNAcentral. Lineage: Eukaryota; Metazoa; Chordata; Mammalia; Carnivora; Felidae. RNAcentral also lists the same sequence under 4 other names.